This 253-nucleotide ribosomal RNA is filed under the name uncultured bacterium. RNAcentral's name for it is "partial 16S ribosomal RNA". It matches the Rfam family "Bacterial small subunit ribosomal RNA", at positions 524 to 776 of the family's 1533-position model. The record is from RNAcentral.
GACGUAGGGUGCAAGCGUUGUCCGGAUUUACUGGGCGUAAAGCGCGCGUAGGUGGCCCGGUAAGUCCGCUCUGAAAGUCACAGGCUCAACCUGUGAAAGCGGGUGGAUACUGCCGGGCUAGAGUCCGGAAGAGGCGAGUGGAAUUCCUGGUGUAGCGGUGGAAUGCGCAGAUAUCAGGAGGAACACCAACGGCGAAGGCAGCUCGCUGGGACGGUACUGACACUGAGGCGCGAAAGCGUGGGGAGCGAACAGG